ACACACACUGCAUACACUGAUACAACACACACACUGCAUACACUAACACAACACACAUACUGCAUACACUAAUACAACACACUGCAUACACUAACACAACACACACUCUGCAUACACUAAUACAACACACUGCAUACACUAACACAACGCACACUCUGCAUACACUAACACAACACACACUCUGCAUUCACUACACACUAACACACUCACUGCAUCCACUACACAUUAACACACUCUGCAUUCGCUACACAUUAACACACUCUGCAUUCAGUACACUAACACACACUCUGCAUCCGCUACACACUAACACACUCUCUGCAUUCACUACACUGACACACUCUGCAUUCACUACACACUAACACACACUCUGCAUGCAUUACACACUAACACACACUCUGCAUUCACUAAACUAUACACACACUCUGCAUUCACUACACUAACAUACACUCUGCAUUAACUGUACACACAGCAUCCACUACACAAACAUCCACCACAAAUUGAAACACUCUGCAUUCACUAUACACAGACACUGCGUCUGAUACACACACUACAUCCACUACAG
This is a non-coding RNA of Pelobates cultripes (western spadefoot toad), 562 nucleotides long. NCBI's taxonomy places the organism in Eukaryota, Metazoa, Chordata, Amphibia, Anura, Pelobatidae. The record is from the annotation of a GenBank genome assembly.